RNAcentral lists this non-coding RNA (27 nucleotides) under Bombyx mori (domestic silkworm). Lineage: Eukaryota; Metazoa; Arthropoda; Insecta; Lepidoptera; Bombycidae. The record is from RNAcentral.
UAAUCACUUGGGGCUGUCUAUAUGGUC